GACAGAGGAGCCAAGCGUUGUCCGGAUUGACUGGGCGUAAAGCGCACGCAGGCGGCUGGGAACGUGGGGUGUGAAACCUGGCGGCUUAACUGCCAGACGCCAUCCCAUACGGCCCGGCUCGAGGCAGGCAGAGGUUCGUGGAAUUGCCGGUGUAGUGGUGGAAUGCGUAGAGAUCGGCAGGAACACCAAGGGCGAAAGCAGCGAACUGGGCCUGUUCUGACGCUCAGGUGCGAAAGCGUGGGGAGCGAACCGG
This 253-nucleotide ribosomal RNA is filed under the name uncultured bacterium. RNAcentral's name for it is "partial 16S ribosomal RNA". It matches the Rfam family "Bacterial small subunit ribosomal RNA", at positions 524 to 776 of the family's 1533-position model. The record is from RNAcentral.